GUGUCAGCAGCCGCGGUAAAACGUAGGAACCGAGCGUUAUCCGAAUUUACUGGGCGUAAAGCGUGUGUAGGCGGUUCGGUAAGUUGGAUGUGAAAUCUCCUGGCUCAACUAGGAGAGGUCGUUCAAUACUGUCGAACUUGAGGGUGGUAGAGGGAGGUGGAAUUCCCGGUGUAGUGGUGAAAUGCGUAGAUAUCGGGAGGAACACCAGUGGCGAAAGCGGCCUCCUGGACCAUUCCUGACGCUCAGACACGAAAGCUAGGGGAGCAAACGGGAUUAGAAACCCUAGUAGUCC
Molecule: ribosomal RNA, 292 nt
Filed under: uncultured bacterium
Lineage: Bacteria
Description: partial 16S ribosomal RNA
Rfam family: Bacterial small subunit ribosomal RNA
Source: RNAcentral